AUUCUUCUUAUGUACCAGGAAGUUCUUGACUGCCAGCGCGCCAGCCUUCCGCACAGUGCCCUGCGCAGCCGUCAGCAGGAUGUCCGACUGGCCCGGGGAGCUGAGGGUUCCGCUGCUCUGCUCGUCGCUGUGCGCAGAGCCAGCCUCCUCCAGGCUCUCGCUGUUGGUGGUGCUCAUCUCCAGUUCCCGCCUGAAGUUCUCGUACACCCCCUGGCGUGCAGCAUCCCCAGUCGAACUGCUGCCGCUGUCGCUGCCCACAAAGGCUCGGCCUGUGGGAGGCGAGUAGCUGGAGUUGGUGGCAUUGGAUCUCCUGGACAGGAGGUCCGUGUCCGUGGUGGCCCCUUCGAUCCCACUGUCUGCAAACUCACUGCCCUCGCCUGUGUUAACAUCCUUGGAAACAGAAAGGGAGAGAGAAGCAGACAUGCAUCACGUUCGGAAGAGACUUGGGAGCACCUGGUCCAGCCUGGGGCUCUGCAGCACAGAAGGCGCACCGGGCUCCAAAGAUGAUGUGCGGAUCCCUCCUCAAGCCAGCGCACUGCGGAGCGGCUCAGGGAAACAAACCUUCGACCAACCACCCGCCACGCAGCCUAAUGAUUCAGAAUGUUCAAGAAAUAUAAAAGGCACAGGGAACACUUC
RNAcentral lists this long non-coding RNA (636 nucleotides) under Rattus norvegicus (Norway rat). Its description in RNAcentral is "long non-coding RNA NONRATT006427". The record is from RNAcentral. Lineage: Eukaryota; Metazoa; Chordata; Mammalia; Rodentia; Muridae.